GUCGCUCCAUCUCUUUCGUGGACACUACCGUUUUCCUGUGGGUGGUCAGUGGCAUUUGGGCGCGAGUGAGGGACUUCUUCGAAUGUAACAAAUUUAAGGCGAGGUAGUACUUCUGCUGCUCCCCUAAAAUGGCACCUGUAAGGAGGAUGAUGUCAUCGAGCUGUACACCAAUGAAAGGAGUGCAAAGGACACUGGGACACUAUUUGGAGUUAAAAACCCCUUAAAACAACAUGCCCAAAUAGCAUCUGGAACUGAAAAUUGUGUUCCCAGGUUGGGAAAACAGCGCAGAACACGAAUUUAUCAUCCUGAGUUGCUUUGUUCCAUCGCCAUGACCUGAACAGCACCCUACCAACAUGACUUCCCCCUUGACUACAAGCCAGAACAGUCUUCCUACAGACCCUGUGAGGAUGGAAGGCCCAGCUCUGCAUGAGGACAAAGCUGCACUCCUCUUCUUUCGUUUUGUCCAAUGGGAACAGCAGUGGUGUGCGCAGCCCUUCAGGUUCACCGCCCAAAGCUGACCUCUAAUAAAGGCCUUACUAAAGA
Molecule: long non-coding RNA, 543 nt
Organism: Catharus ustulatus (Swainson's thrush)
Lineage: Eukaryota; Metazoa; Chordata; Aves; Passeriformes; Turdidae
Exons: 2
Source: RefSeq, a predicted model, not a curated record